GACGAACGCUGGCGGCGUGCCUAAUACAUGCAAGUAGAACGCACAGUUUAUACCGUAGCUUGCUACACCAUAGACUGUGAGUUGCGAACGGGUGAGUAACGCGUAGGUAACCUGCCUGGUAGCGGGGGAUAACUAUUGGAAACGAUAGCUAAUACCGCAUAAUAUUAAUUAUUGCAUGAUAAUUAAUUGAAAGGUGCAAUUGCACCACUACCAGAUGGACCUGCGUUGUAUUAGCUAGUAGGUGAGGUAACGGCUCACCUAGGCGACGAUACAUAGCCGACCUGAGAGGGUGAUCGGCCACACUGGGACUGAGACACGGCCCAGACUCCUACGGGAGGCAGCAGUAGGGAAUCUUCGGCAAUGGACGAAAGUCUGACCGAGCAACGCCGCGUGAGUGAAGAAGGUUGUCGGAUCGUAAAGCUCGGUUGUAAGAGAAGAACGGGUGUGAGAGUGGAAAGUUCACACUGUGACGGUAGCUUACCAGAAAGGGACGGCUAACUACGUG
RNAcentral lists this ribosomal RNA (505 nucleotides) under uncultured bacterium. RNAcentral describes it as "partial 16S ribosomal RNA". It matches the Rfam family "Bacterial small subunit ribosomal RNA", at positions 28 to 507 of the family's 1533-position model. The record is from RNAcentral.